AGUCAGCAGUGAGCACAUUUUUCCCACUGGCGGCACCCGUAGGGUAGUAACCCCGAUGGGUUAAAGACUGCUUUUCAGGUCGUAAAGAUCGGUCAAGAGGGAUUAACCUAUUUAUGACAAUACUGCCAUAUGAUGACGGUCCCAUCAAGGAAGCACCGGCGAACUCCGUGCCCGCAGCCGCGGUAAUACGGGGGGUGCGAGCGUUAUUCGGAAUUAUUGGGCGUAAAGAGCGCGUAGGCGGUCUUUUAAGUCAGGUGUGAAAGCCUGGGGCUCAACCCCGGAAGUGCACUUGAAACUAAGAGACUUGAGUAUGGGAGAGGGAAGUGGAAUUCCUGGUGUAGCGGUGAAAUGCGUAGAUAUCAGGAGGAACAUCGGUGGCGAAGGCGACUUCCUGGACCAAUACUGACGCUGAGGCGCGAAGGCGUGGGGAGCAAACAGGAUUAGAUACCCUGGUAGUCCACGCAGUAAACGGUGAACACUAGGUGUAGCGGGUAUUGACCCCUGCUGUGCCGCAGCAAACGCAUUAAGUGUUCCGCCUGGGGAGUACGGCCGCAAGGUUAAAACUCAAAUGAAUUGACGG
Molecule: ribosomal RNA, 580 nt
Filed under: uncultured delta proteobacterium
Lineage: Bacteria; Deltaproteobacteria
Description: bacterial SSU rRNA
Rfam family: Bacterial small subunit ribosomal RNA
Source: RNAcentral